This 453-nucleotide ribosomal RNA is filed under the name uncultured bacterium. RNAcentral describes it as "bacterial SSU rRNA". It matches the Rfam family "Bacterial small subunit ribosomal RNA", at positions 340 to 786 of the family's 1533-position model. The record is from RNAcentral.
UACGGAAGGCAGCAGUGGGGAAUAUUGCACAAUGGGCGCAAGCCUGAUGCAGCCAUGCCGCGUGUAUGAAGAAGGCCUUCGGGUUGUAAAGUACUUUCAGUCGUGAGGAAGGUGUUAAGGUUAAUAACCUUAGCAAUUGACGUUAGCGACAGAAGAAGCACCGGCUAACUCCGUGCCAGCAGCCGCGGUAAUACGGAGGGUGCGAGCGUUAAUCGGAAUUACUGGGCGUAAAGGGCACGCAGGCGGUUAAUUAAGUUGGAUGUGAAAUCCCCGGGCUUAACCUGGGAAUGGCAUUCAAGACUGGUUAGCUAGAGUCUUGUAGAGGGGGUAGAAUUCCAUGUGUAGCGGUGAAAUGCGUAGAGAUGUGGAGGAAUACCGGUGGCGAAGGCGGCCCCUGGACAAAGACUGACGCUCAUGUGCGAAAGCGUGGGGAACAAACAGGGAUUAGAUACC